GAUUACGGCCAUAGCACACUGACAACGCCCGAUUUCGUCUGAUCUCGGAAGCUAAACAGAGUUGGGCUGGGUCAGUACUUGGAUUGGUGACCGCCUGGGAAUACCCGGUGCUGUAAGCA
Ribosomal RNA from Cottoperca gobio, 119 nucleotides. The record is from Ensembl. NCBI's taxonomy places the organism in Eukaryota, Metazoa, Chordata, Actinopteri, Perciformes, Bovichtidae.